RNAcentral lists this ribosomal RNA (500 nucleotides) under uncultured Lachnospiraceae bacterium. RNAcentral describes it as "partial 16S ribosomal RNA". The record is from RNAcentral. Lineage: Bacteria; Bacillati; Bacillota; Clostridia; Lachnospirales; Lachnospiraceae.
UACGUAUUUAGCCGGGGCUUCUUAGUCAGGUACCGUCAUUUUCUUCCCUGCUGAUAGGGCUUUACAUACCGAAGUACUCCAUCGCCCACGCGGCGUCGCUGCAUCAGGGUUCCCCCCAUUGUGCAAUAUCCCCCACUGCUGCCUCCCGUAGGAGUCUGGGCCGUGUCUCAGUCCCAAUGUGGCCGUCCACCCUCUCAGGCCGGCUACUGAUCGUCGCCUUGGUGGGCCGUUACCCCGCCAACAAGCUAAUCAGACGCGAGCCCAUCCUGCACCAUAUUACUUUCCACACCGCCCCAUGCGGGGCUGUGCGCCUAUGCGGUAUUAGCAGCCGUUUCCAGCUGUUGUCCCCCAGUGCAGGGCAGGUUGCUCACGCGUUACUCACCCGUCCGCCACUAGGCAGCGCCAAUUUCCGCUCCGAAAAGUUUCCAUCGGCGCGCCCCGUUCGACUUGCAUGUGUUAGGCACGCCGCCAGCGUUCAUCCUGAGCCAGGAUCAAACUCU